GAUGAACGCUAGCGGCAGGCUUAAUACAUGCAAGUCGUGGGGCAGCACAGUCCGCCGAAAGGCGGAUGGGUGGCGACCGGCAAACGGGUGCGGAACACGUACGCAACCUUCCUACAGGCGGGGAAUAGCCCAGAGAAAUUUGGAUUAAUACCCCAUAAAUUUUAAGUAUGGCAUCAUCUUAUUAUUAAAGCUUCGGCACCUGAAGAUGGGCGUGCGGCUGAUUAGGUAGNGGUCGGGGUAACGGCCCACCAAGCCUGCGAUCAGUAGCUGAUGUGAGAGCAUGAUCA
This 287-nucleotide ribosomal RNA is filed under the name uncultured bacterium. Its description in RNAcentral is "partial 16S ribosomal RNA". It matches the Rfam family "Bacterial small subunit ribosomal RNA", at positions 28 to 306 of the family's 1533-position model. The record is from RNAcentral.